Long non-coding RNA from Passer domesticus (house sparrow), 1009 nucleotides. RefSeq lists it as uncharacterized. The record is from RefSeq and is a predicted model, not a curated record. The transcript has 5 exons. NCBI's taxonomy places the organism in Eukaryota, Metazoa, Chordata, Aves, Passeriformes, Passeridae.
AGGCUGGCAGUUGAUGGAUCUGGAAGCAAGGAAUGCUGGUUCAAUCCAAUUCCAUGGAAUCACAGAAGAGUUUGAGCUGGAAUUGGCCUCUGGAGAGCCUCUGCUCCAACCCCUCUGCACCCAGAGCAUCUUACACAGGAGCACAUCCACGUGGGACUGGAAUGGCUCCAGAGAGGGAAUUUCCAAUAAAAAACCACGGAGAGUGAACAGCAAAACCUCAUCAGCACCAAACUGCUCCUCUUUUCACAUUUUGAAUUCCAAAGAACAGCAAAGAAACCGAGGCUGUGUUUGCCAUAAAGAUUUUGUGCACCUGCUCUGGAACCAGGAACUUCCAGGUGAGAGCAGCUGAAGUGAAAGAGCAGCUCUGGCUCAUUGAGCUGAUCAGGACAGGGUAGGAGACAGCAUCUUCCCAAGUGGGGUUAUUCACCAGCUCCAUCCCAGGAUUUCUUAAUAAAUAUGAAGAUUUAGCAAGGCCUUGGCAAUGAAAAACAGGAUUGAAGCUCAUCCAGGCUUUUGCAUCCCAAUAUUCCCGAAACUGCUUUUGGAGAAAUCACUGGUGAAACGAGGCUGUUGCUACCAAAGGUGGAAUUCCCAAGGACGGAAGACCCCCAGGCCACAUGGCUGCGACAAAAAGGAAUUUGGGACACAAAUAUUUAUUUUCAGUUCUUAUCUUCCCUCUGCAAGUGACCACGUUUGUUGGGAAUUUUUGCCCUCAUUUUGUAGUCUGAGAAGAGUAAUUUUUGCUGAGGUCCAGCCAGAAAAGGUCACACUCAACCUGAUCCCCUGAAGAAAAGCCACAUUUCAUUGGGAUUCUGUCUUGCUGGGAGAGGACUCGGUUGGGAUUCUCUCCUCCUGGGAGCUGUCCCUCAGCAGGGGAGGGCAGAUCUCUCUGCCUUUGCUGCAGCACCAGGGAAGUGCCUCUGGAGACUCAGAGCUGGCACCAAACAGGGCAGAGGAGCAUGGCAGGGCUCGGGGGGAAUUCCUGGGAAAGCCCUGCCUGGAGGACAGG